RNAcentral lists this ribosomal RNA (253 nucleotides) under uncultured bacterium. RNAcentral describes it as "partial 16S ribosomal RNA". It matches the Rfam family "Bacterial small subunit ribosomal RNA", at positions 524 to 776 of the family's 1533-position model. The record is from RNAcentral.
UACGGAGGGUGCAAGCGUUGUUCGGAAUUACUGGGCGUAAAGCGCGUGUAGGCGGUUGGGCAAGUCAGAUGUGAAAGCCUUCUGCUUAACGGAAGAAGUGCAUUUGAAACUACCCGGCUGGAGUACGGGAGAGGAGAGUGGAAUUCCCGGUGUAGAGGUGAAAUUCGUAGAUAUCGGGAGGAACACCAGUGGCGAAGGCGGCUCUCUGGUCCGAUACUGACGCUGAGACGCGAAAGCGUGGGGAGCAAACAGG